Drosophila yakuba is the source of this 865-nucleotide long non-coding RNA. RefSeq lists it as uncharacterized. The transcript is spliced from 2 exons. Lineage: Eukaryota; Metazoa; Arthropoda; Insecta; Diptera; Drosophilidae. The record is from RefSeq and is a predicted model, not a curated record.
UGCUCGUCUAGACUAAUUAAUAAUAUUUCGUGCCUAGCGCUAAGUUAUACAAAGGCAGCCGGCGAAAAGCGGCAAAAUAUCAGCAGCAAUAAACAAAAUAAAUUCGCUGGCAUUUGUUUCAUGUUAAAAUGGGGAAAAAAUUGGAAACUGAGCCCUGAACUGAAAGAGCCCUCAUUGUCUCCUGGGCCCACACAAACUGAGAUUAAUACGCAGAUUACAACCAAGUUAUAAUUACUGGCGUCCCGAAGCGAAAAUAGGGGAGUAGAGCUGAGUAAAUUGAGCUGUCAAGUGUGCAGAUGAAAGGAGAUCGUGAAAUGGGUUUGAUUAGGUUCCUUUGGCUCAAGUCUAAAGUCGAGGUCUCGCUGAGGUUAAAGAAUCCCAUCUCCUAGCAAAAAUGCCUUUCUGCAAACAUUUAUGCUGCUUUCGAAAAAUUGGGAAGUCAAGAAACCGAUUUUGGGACCAUUUACAUCAACUGCCUAUUGGAUUUCCUGGAAAAACAAUUAUUAUUAUUAUUAGGGUCUCGUUUGUGAGGCCAUGGAAAUUGCGUGUAAUCGCCAAGCGAAAAGCGAAACUGAGUACCAAUGCCUACACUAAUGGCGUUUUAUUUUUCGCUAGACUACGAACUCAAUUAGCUGCCGUGCGUAGCGUAAUUAAGUUGAUGCCACGCCCAAUUCGAUAACCUAAACCUCUUCGGCCGCCCACUACCUGCCACCUCUACCGCCCACUAAAUGAUCCAGUUUUAUGCCACCUGACGUCGCCUGGCGAUGUGUAUGCAAAAACAUUACACGAAAUGCUUUGGAGCUGCCUUAAAUUAAUUUAUCACGUGCCGAAAUAAAGCAACUACCGGUGGCUUCCUUCCCCUGCA